AAAGUUUGAAUUGAAGCUGCACCAGCGCAUCCACACAGGGGAGAGACCAUACAAGUGCUCUGAGUGUGGGAAGGGCUUCAAAAGCAAUUCUAACCUCACCUGCCACCAUCGCAUCCACACAGGAGAGAGACCCUUUCAGUGUCCUGAGUGUGGGAAGAGCUUCAAACGCAGUUCUGAAUUGAAGCAGCACCAUCACAUCCACACAGGACAGAGACCCUUUCAGUGUCCUGGAGUGUGCAAAGAGCUUUAAACGCAGAUCUCAUCUCAACACUCACAAGCGCACCCACAGAGCACAACGGCUGUAGAAGCUCCCCAAGACUCUGGGAACCUUCAAAAGCAGUUCCAGCCUCAUUAGCGACCAGCACUGCCACAGAAGGUACAGAUCCUGCAGAACCUCAAACUUGUGAGGAGCUUCAGCCAAAACCCCAGCCUGGUUACGACCUGUGGCUUUGUGUUUUGAACCUUACAAAUCCCUUGAGUAGAGGAAGAGCUCUGCAGCCAAAAUCCUUCUUCUUCUCUGCUGCUCUUCUUUCUCCUCUUUGGAUGCGAAUUCUGCAUGUUGCUCUCUGUCAGCUGCAGUCAAGGUGUUGAGCGGACACUCAAAGGAGAGUCCAGAGUGGGAUGUGUCACAGCAACUGGAAACCCUCUGCCAGGUGGCACGUUUCUGCCAGGGCAGUGUGCAAGGACAGUCACCUCUUAUCUCCCCUGUAGAAACUCACCUGCAUAGGUGGGAUUGGAAUACCUAGGAUGACACAGAUGGGGAACCAAAUGGUUCGAAUCUACCCGCUAAUUGUGUCCACACAGUCAGCCCAAUCUCCAUGGCUCUCCUUGCUCGAGGUGUUGAGGAGCUGUAAGGCAUGCCUGACUGCCAAAGGGCAGAUCUGUGCUGAGGAGCUUUGCAGUCUCCCACAGCUGUUGUGGGAUGGCUAAAGGACGUGGCAAAAGAGACUGGAGUGAGUUGUGAAAAAGGGAAGGCUAUUGCCUGUGUGGUGGGAGUGUGGGAAUUGAAUGUUGUUCCCCAAUCAGAACAAGAUAAGAAUUCUGUUAAUUUCAUGGCCUCUGCUACCAUUUGGGUCCUUUAUUACAAUUAAUACCUCUUUUCAGGGGUCUUUCUACUUUAGCAGGGUUCUCUGGUACUUUGCAUUGCUCGUCCUCUAGAUAAACCUUCCCCAGAAACGCAUACUCAGUAUAUAAGUAAAAUAGUAUAUACAUACAUAUAGAUAUAGAGAUAUCCAUCGAGAUUAGGUAGAUGGAGUAAGUUACAAGCACAAAGACUGAAGCUCCUGUCUGUCCAGCUUUCUGAAACACAUCUGGGCCUUCAGUUAAAGGCCAGGUAGACGUAAUAGAUAUCUUUGCAAAUCACAAACCCCUUGAUGUUGGAAAACUGCUAGCUUUUGGUGCUGGAUAGACAGGGCCUGAGCAACAGAGAAUUAAAGGAGAAGUUGAACAAUUAACAGCAUACAUAUAUAUGCCAGUAACAACUUAUGUAUAGACUGCAUGAAAAAAAAAUAUAUGUCACACACAUUGCAAGAACGUCCUGCACAAAUUAAAAGGACAACUCCUUAGGGAGUGCCUGAAGAACAUAUUGAGGAACAUCUGGCACCUCCCUCCAUACUCUUUGUCUAACAAAGACUCUGAAGAAAAUCACCACAUCAGUACGAAUGAGAAGGGUACUGAGACAUGUUAGAGACAAAAGGACUGCUACUGACUGACACCACAUGACACACAAAUUAACAAGUGAUUAACAAAUGUAAACCUUUUGAUAAGAUUGUGAACCUGGAGCACCCAGCCAGUGGGGAAACAGGGGAGGCAAGGGGUGUGUGGGGGGGGAAACAAGGUACAAAAGCUGUCAUGUCCAUACCCAUAAGCACGCUCUUCUGCUUGUGGGAUGCCUGCCACUGCAAUUGGGAAUAAAAUCUGCUUU
RNAcentral lists this long non-coding RNA (1924 nucleotides) under Gallus gallus (chicken). RNAcentral's name for it is "lncRNA (ENSGALG00010001355.1)". Lineage: Eukaryota; Metazoa; Chordata; Aves; Galliformes; Phasianidae. The record is from RNAcentral.